GAUGAAGAACGCAGCGAAAUGCGAUACGUAAUGUGAAUUGCAAAUUCAGUGAAUCAUCGAGUCUUUGAACGCACAUUGCGCCCCCUGGUAUUCCGGGGGGCAUGCCUGUCCGAGCGUCAUUGCUGCCCUCAAGCACGGCUUGUGUGUUGGGCCCCGUCCUCCGAUCCCGGGGGACGGGGCCGAAAGGCAGCGGCGGCACCGCGUCCGGUCCUCGAGCGUAUGGGGCUUUGUCACCCGCUCUGUAGGCCCGGCCGGCGCUUGCCGAUCAACCCAAAUUUUUUAUCCAGGUUGACCUCGGAUCAGGUAGGGAUACCCGCUGAACUUAAGCAUAUCAAUAAGCGGAGGA
Molecule: unclassified non-coding RNA, 346 nt
Filed under: soil metagenome
Description: partial contains 5.8S ribosomal RNA, internal transcribed spacer 2, and large subunit ribosomal RNA
Rfam family: 5.8S ribosomal RNA (bases 1-119)
Source: RNAcentral